CCUACGGGGGGCAGCAGUGGGGAAUAUUGGACAAUGGGGGGAACCCUGAUCCAGCCAUGCCGCGUGUGUGAAGAAGGCCCUCGGGUUGUAAAGCACUUUCAGUGAGGAAGAACGCCUGGUGGUUAAUACCCAUCAGGAAAGACAUCACUCACAGAAGAAGCACCGGCUAACUCCGUGCCAGCAGCCGCGGUAAUACGGAGGGUGCGAGCGUUAAUCGGAAUUACUGGGCGUAAAGCGCGCGUAGGUGGCUUGAUAAGCCGGUUGUGAAAGCCCCGGGCUCAACCUGGGAACGGCAUCCGGAACUGUCAAGCUAGAGUGCAGGAGAGGAAGGUAGAAUUCCCGGUGUAGCGGUGAAAUGCGUAGAGAUCGGGAGGAAUACCAGUGGCGAAGGCGGCCUUCUGGACUGACACUGACACUGAGGUGCGAAAGCGUGGGGAGCAAACAGGAUUAGAUACCCUUGUAGUC
Molecule: ribosomal RNA, 465 nt
Filed under: Vreelandella stevensii
Lineage: Bacteria; Pseudomonadati; Pseudomonadota; Gammaproteobacteria; Oceanospirillales; Halomonadaceae
Description: partial 16S ribosomal RNA
Rfam family: Bacterial small subunit ribosomal RNA
Source: RNAcentral